This is a non-coding RNA of Schistosoma rodhaini, 45 nucleotides long. NCBI's taxonomy places the organism in Eukaryota, Metazoa, Platyhelminthes, Trematoda, Strigeidida, Schistosomatidae. The record is from Rfam.
AUCCAGCUGACAAAUCCCAAAUAGGACGAAACGCGCGUCCUGGAU